CAGAAACUACAAAGGAAGUUGACGGGGCCCGCACAAGCGGAGGAGCAUGUGGUUUAAUUCGAUGAUACGCGAGGAACCUUACCUGGGCUCGAACGUAAGAUGACUGUAGGUGAAAGCUUACAUCUCUUCGGAGCAUUUUACGAGGUGCUGCAUGGUUGUCGUCAGCUCGUGCCGUGAGGUGUCGGGUUAAGUCCCAUAACGAGCGCAACCCCUACCUUUAGUUGCCAUCAGGUUAAGCUGGGGACUCUAAAGGAACUGCCUACGCAAGUAGUGAGGAAGGCGGGGAUGACGUCAAAUCAGCACGGCCCUUACGUCCAGGGCUACACACGUGCUACAAUGGCCGAUACAGAGGGCAGCUACCUGGUGACAGGAUGCAAAUCUCCAAAGUCGGUCUCAGUUCGGAUCGGAGUCUGCAACCCGACUCCGUGAAGUUGGAUUCGCUAGUAAUCGUGAAUCAGAAUGUCACGGUGAAUACGUUCCCGGGCCUU
This 488-nucleotide ribosomal RNA is filed under the name uncultured Sphingobacteriales bacterium. RNAcentral's name for it is "bacterial SSU rRNA". It matches the Rfam family "Bacterial small subunit ribosomal RNA", at positions 894 to 1382 of the family's 1533-position model. The record is from RNAcentral. Lineage: Bacteria; Pseudomonadati; Bacteroidota; Sphingobacteriia; Sphingobacteriales.